Molecule: long non-coding RNA, 1118 nt
Filed under: Betta splendens (Siamese fighting fish)
Lineage: Eukaryota; Metazoa; Chordata; Actinopteri; Anabantiformes; Osphronemidae
Description: lncRNA (ENSBSLG00000004890.1)
Source: RNAcentral
CGACGUUCUGCUGCAAAUGUUCUGCUGCAAAUGUUCUGCAGCCCACAGAACGGUUCUACUGCAGGAACAUAGGGCCGUUAUCCCAGCAUGCAGUGGCUGCAGAUGUUCUCCAGCCCACAGAGCGGUUCUACAGCAGGAACGUAGGGCUGUUAUCCCAGUGUGCAGCGGCUGCAGACGUUCUGCUGCAGACGUUCUGCUGCAAAUGUUCUGCUGCAAAUGUUCUGCAGCCCACAGAACGGUUCUACAGCAGAAACAUAGGGCUGUUAUGCCAACAUGCAGCAGCUGCAGAUGUUCUCGCAUCCUCCUCCAGGUUAAUAACACGUCACAGAGUCAGUGCCUAAUGAAAUGGGACGUUUCUGUCUGUGUUCUGUCUGUGUUCUACUUUUGUUCUGUCUGUGCUCUGCCUGGGUUUUGUCUGGGUUCUGCCUGUGUUCUACCUGUGUUCUGCCUGUGUUCUGCCUGUGUUCUACCUGUGUUCUGCCUGUGUUCUACCUGUCUUCUGCCUGUGUUCCACCUGUGUUCCACCUGUGUUCUGCUUGUGUUCCACCUGUGUUCUGCCUGUGUUCUGCCUGUGUUCCACCUGUGUUCCGCCUGUGUUCUGCCUGUGUUCCACCUGUGUUCUGCCUGUGUUCUGCCUGUGUUCCACCUGUGUUCUGCUUGUGUUCCACCUGUGUUCCCCCUGUGUUCUGCCUUUGUUCUGCUUGUGUUCUGCCUGUGUUCCACCUGUCUUCCACCUGUGUUCUGCUUGUGUUCCACCUGUGUUCCACCUGUGUUCCACCUAUGUUCCGCCUGUGUUCUGCCUGUGUUCCACCUGUGUUCCACCUAUGUUCCGCCUGUGUUCUGCCUGUGUUCCACCUGUGUUCCACCUGUGUUCUGCCUGUGUUCUGCAUGUGUUCUAUCUGUGUUCUGUCUGGAGCUUGUAGGCAUAUUCUUCUCGAUUAACAACAGAUUAACCUUGAUCUGUGAGCUCUUGAGCAGAACUUUUGUCCUGUUCCUUUUCAUCUGACGCAGCUCUCAUUCACAGUAACAAACUGUCUUUUCAGCUUCAAACUGCAGAAUUCUGAAUCAUCUAACGAGACUUUUUUCCACUAACACAGUCUCUUAAAGCUCGUUCUCAC